Molecule: ribosomal RNA, 390 nt
Filed under: uncultured bacterium
Lineage: Bacteria
Description: bacterial SSU rRNA
Rfam family: Bacterial small subunit ribosomal RNA
Source: RNAcentral
GACGAACGCUGGCGGCGUGCUUAACAUGCAAGUCGAGCGGUAAGGCCCUUCGGGUACGACGAGCGGCGAACGGGUGAGUAACACGUGGGUGACCUGCCUCUAGCUCUGGGAUAAGCCUGGGAAACUGGGUCUAAUACCGGAUAUGACUCCACGGCGCAUGUUGUGGGGUGGAAAGCCUUGUGUGGCUAGAGAUGGGCCCGCGGCCUAUCAGCUUGUUGGUGGGGUGANGGCCUACCAAGGCGACGACGGGUAGCCGGCCUGAGAGGGCGACCGGCCACACUGGGACUGAGACACGGCCCAGACUCCUACGGGAGGCAGCAGUGGGGAAUCUUGCGCAAUGGGCGAAAGCCUGACGCAGCGACGCCGCGUGAGGGAUGACGGCCUUCGGUU